UUUUUUCUUUUUUUCCUUCUUUUCUUUCUUUCCCUUCUUUUCUUUCUUUACUUUUUUCUUUUUGCAAGCAUACCAAAUUUUCUGGGACCAAUGGUCCCAUGGUCCGCUAUAUUUUCCACCCCUGAUUUACACCUCUAAUACUGCAAGCUGAAUAUUUUGAUUGGGAAUAGUUUUUAUAUCAUAGCUUUCAUAUUGCUUUAUCUAUAUUUAUUAGAUUGAUGUCUUCAGCUAUGGUUUGCUGGUGUUGGAGACGUCCACUUGCCAGCUACCACAAAAAGAAAGAAUGGAUCAAAUAAAUACAAUGCAGAACGAUGGAAUCAAGGAAUUGGUGAGAUGUUGUACAGAAUUCAACCCGCAACGGAGGCCAACAAUGCAGAAUGUGAUUAGAUUUUGGAAAAACAUGAGACAAUAAAUCGAUGCAUGGAAACACCCAAUUUUAGUACGCUUUUUUUAAUCACACCAUGCACCAGUAACAUGUAGCAUUAAAUUAACGAACAUUUAUUAGAAACUGUAUUCUAAGACCUGGUAACUCACCUAAACUUGCUGUGAGAUAUUACAAUAUUGAAUUGAACAGUUGUUGGAUAACGUUUGUGUGAUAUACAAAAAUACCAAGACCGAUGUAAGUGUUCCUAGUUUAGAUAAAAUCGAGAUUGAUAACACUCACCAAAAACAUAAAUGUUAUCAACACUAAUAUGUAAUAAUGCAUCUAAUAAGCACUAUAAUUACGAAUACUGAUAAUAAUAUUGAAUUCUUUAUAAUAAAUUCUGUUGAUAGUCUAGGACAUGUAUAGAA
Paramuricea clavata is the source of this 792-nucleotide non-coding RNA. The record is from the annotation of a GenBank genome assembly. NCBI's taxonomy places the organism in Eukaryota, Metazoa, Cnidaria, Anthozoa, Malacalcyonacea, Plexauridae.